Astyanax mexicanus (Mexican tetra) is the source of this 659-nucleotide long non-coding RNA. RefSeq lists it as uncharacterized. NCBI's taxonomy places the organism in Eukaryota, Metazoa, Chordata, Actinopteri, Characiformes, Acestrorhamphidae. The record is from RefSeq and is a predicted model, not a curated record. The transcript is spliced from 3 exons.
GCAGCAGCAGUUUUUCCGCUCCGGAGAGAGAUUUCACUACUACUACUGACCCACCGCCUGAUUUAUCCUUUAUACUGUUAAUUAUAUCUAUAUUUCUUUUAAUUAUUCUGUAAUUGUUGUGUUUUCUGUGUUGUUGUUGUUGUUGUUGUUGUUUUGUUUGUUUUUUGUUGUUUUUUCUCUUUCAGGUAACCGGAUCGUUGUGAGGACCGACGCCCCGCGGUCGGAUAUGGACUGGCGGCGGACUUUUAGCGUCCAUCCACCUGAGGCGGAGUCUGGAGCUCCAGAGUCUUCACCUCCUCACACUCCGCCUCUUUCGGUGGAUUCUGCGAUGGACCUCAGCUCAGAUGACUCCAGCAUUCUGUCCGCCAGUCUGGUGGUGAAAAAAACACACUGAAAGAUUAAAUUACAGUGAAGCAUCACCGUCAUACAACUGCAUCCAAAACUACAUAGCACCUAAAAUACUAAAACAGUACGGCACCGUAUGUAGUAUUAAUUAGAUACAUCACAGUCAUACAGUGUAGUAGAGUAUUGUAGACACAGUUUUGGAUGCAGCCAUUGACUGAAGAAUAUUUUAGAUUUAAUUACGACAAUGUGUUUAAGAUUUGUUCAAUCAUUGCACUGGUGCUGAAUUAUCACUGCCUGCACAUUUUGCUGUGAUA